AAGAAAUACAGUAAGGUCUUUCCCUUUAGUAAAAGGAAAGACCUUAAUAAUAAUCAGAAGAAAUACAGUAAGGUCUUUCCCUUUAGUAAAAGGAAAGACCUUAAUAAACAGAAAUAAGAAGGUCUUUCCCUUAAUUAAACUGUCAAUUGUUCUUGAACAAUUGAGAGGUCUUUCCUUUUGUAAUGUAAAAUACAUGUUCCAAUAGACGUAGAAUGUAUUGAAAAG
Molecule: long non-coding RNA, 225 nt
Filed under: Mytilus galloprovincialis (Mediterranean mussel)
Lineage: Eukaryota; Metazoa; Mollusca; Bivalvia; Mytilida; Mytilidae
Source: RNAcentral